CCCUUAGAUGUUCUGGGCCGCACGCGCGCUACACUGACGAUGGCAACGAGUUUUUCCUUCGCCGAAAGGUGUGGGUAAUCUUUUGAAACAUCGUCGUGCUGGGGAUAGAUCAUUGCAAUUUUUGAUCUUGAACGAGGAAUUCCUAGUAAGCGCGAGUCAUCAGCUCGCGUUGAUUACGUCCCUGCCCUUUGUACACACCACCCGUCGCUACUACCGAUUGAAUGGUUUAGUGAGGACUCCUGAUUGGCGCCGCCGCCCCGGCAACGGAGCAGCGGACUGCCGAAAAGUUGUUCAAACUUGAUCAUUUAGAGGAAGUAAAAGUCGUAACA
Molecule: ribosomal RNA, 329 nt
Filed under: uncultured eukaryote
Lineage: Eukaryota
Description: partial 18S ribosomal RNA
Rfam family: Eukaryotic small subunit ribosomal RNA
Source: RNAcentral